UUAUAGCAUUGUAUCCUAGAAGGAUAAUUCUGCAUAAGCCACAACUUGAAUCUAAUUUGAAAACUCCUGUAUUAUAGAAAUGCAUUCCACACAGAGUAGUUUCUGUAUUUAUCAGAUAAACAGUAUGCAUCCUGGACCUAAUUAAGGUUUCAAGACACUGAAAGUUCUGUUUUGAAUUCACCUUGAAGUAUGAGAAACUUCUUAAAGAGCCUAUUUGAAACAAAAUUGUAAAAACUUCAUUGAAGGGAUUGUAGAGAAAAUUGGCAGGAGAAGAUGUUAACAACAAGGCCCGGAGCUCCAUUUGUAGGAUUCGCAGCGUAAAGCCUGCAGAUACUCGUCUCUAAGGGCUUUUUUCCCUCCAUUGAAUUCAAGUAAAGGAGAAGAAUAGCAUGAAAGGGAACAAGAAAAAUUGACGGCAACAUGAAUGUCUACAUUUCACAAAACCAACCAUGGCACACCAACGAAGAGACCGGAAACAAACACUGUGACCCUGUGGCACUGUGAUGCACCGCCAUAAGGAUAUCUUUCUGUUUCGUUGCAGCUGGAGUCAAUGACUUCAUACCGAA
Grus americana (Whooping crane) is the source of this 566-nucleotide long non-coding RNA. RefSeq lists it as uncharacterized. The transcript has 4 exons. NCBI's taxonomy places the organism in Eukaryota, Metazoa, Chordata, Aves, Gruiformes, Gruidae. The record is from RefSeq and is a predicted model, not a curated record.